Long non-coding RNA from Dromaius novaehollandiae (emu), 1790 nucleotides. RefSeq lists it as uncharacterized. The transcript has 3 exons. NCBI's taxonomy places the organism in Eukaryota, Metazoa, Chordata, Aves, Casuariiformes, Dromaiidae. The record is from RefSeq and is a predicted model, not a curated record.
GCAGGAAGCCCAGGUUAUAGAGUGAAGGGCUAAUGAAAGGUCUGAGUCGAGAUGGAAGAUGGAAGAGAGAGAGCUGUGCUCCGAGGAUGCUCUGAUUUUGAGCCACUUAGAUCAAGACACAGAGGCAAAGUCUUUUGCUUACUUGGUCCAAGCACAGAAGCAGGAAUAUUUAAAAGGACAUGAGGAGGGCAGACCCUGACAGGCAAACCUCACCUUUUUCUCUGGAACAAUAAAAACGGCAAUAGAAAGAGGACUUUGGAAGUAAGAUCUCAGAAGCCAAGUCCGCUAUAAUGCCCGAAAGCAGCAGACCUGACUUGCAGCAGCACUACCUUAAGAAGAGACAGCUGGGAGGCGGUCUUUUAAGAACAGCAGUUCACAGCGGUACCGUUGUUCAUUCUGGCUGCCGCAAACAGGGGAGUUGCUUCUUUCUACCCAUUACUUUGCAGGAUCAUUGUCUGCACAGGAGCCUUUGUCACUUUGUUUAGUGAAAUGUAGGAUCACAAUGAUCAAACGGCACCUCAGCCUUGGCCGGGUAUGGGAAUAAGUAAGAGAAGAGCUUUCUUGUAUCUUCAUCCCACCUGGGUCUUUUUCCCAUGUUUAACACUCAACAUCCGCCCUUCUUUCAGAAUUUAUUUAAACAAAUUGCUGGGGAGCAGAAAAAGAGUACAGCAGAGGCAGUAAACUGCAUGCACAGGCUGUGGUAAUUAUUGCCCUUCCACAAAGAAGGAUGGGAUUACUAAAGUCACAAUUUCUCCAGGAGCUGCCUCCUGGGAUGGCAUACUUCUGCACACCACCUCUCAUCAGGCUGAUGUAGAGAUUUCAGAGUAAACUCUUAGGCUUUACUAAUCAGAUAAGCUUGUCCAGGCACAUGGGAGGUUGUAAACACAACCUCCAUCUGCAAGAAAAAAACCUGUCUUUUCAUGAAGGCUGAUAAGCUGCAGAUCGCUAGCCUAUUUGCUUGGGAUUCAUCUCCCAUCAAAACCCAUGUUGAUUCUCAGUUGAUUGCAAGUUCAUGUACUUUGUUGCAGAACCAAAUCCUGCAGGUAGAUAGCUGCACUCCUAUACACAUUCUUUUAGAGGGGGUAUGGGAAAGAUUAAGUAAGAUAACAGAUUAAAUUGGUUUACUUUAUUUGCUCAUCUCCUUUCUGUAAACAGGAGUGAACCUUCGCUGGGUUAGUUUUCUUGUUUCACUCCACUAGAGGUAACAAAAUGUAAUUUUCUUUAACAAGGGCAAAUCAGAAGGAACUUAUCCUCGGCUCCUGAGGCUGAGAGAGGAACAAUGCUGCCUCAUUCAAGUGGCUACCAGUCAUUAUGAAAUGCAUGAAUAAGCAGUGACAAUUAAUUCAGUGAGACCGGAUGAAAAUAUUUUUCGGGUGAUAGUGUAAUGUAAAUCAUUGUUUUACACAUUCCCUUUCAAUGAUUUAAUUCAUGCUUUCCUGACUCCUGCUGUGUUAUGAUUCAGAGAUUAGUGCUCAUGUGUGUAAUUUAACAAAGCUGAAUGAUAAGCAGCAAGGAGACUUAAACAAAUCCUUGUUUCUGAUGUAUUUAUGAUAAAUUAGUAAAACAUCCUCAGCGCCACGCAGAAUGAUUAGGCUACUGCAGCUUCUACACAAGCACCUGUCAGGAAAAGUAGAAAAAUACACAGGACAUUGUAUAACUAAGCAGUGAAACAAAUGUAGAAAUCCAAAGCGAUGGCAAAUUACAAUCAAUUUACAAUGUACAAAUUACAUUACAAUCCAAAUCCUAUACUGUACCUGUAUUCCAAUAGAUAAACAUCUGUUUUUCUUGAA